RNAcentral lists this non-coding RNA (206 nucleotides) under unclassified sequences. RNAcentral describes it as "IS605-orfB-I RNA". It matches the Rfam family "IS605-orfB-I RNA". The record is from Rfam by way of RNAcentral.
ACUAUAUAAAGAUAUAUGACCACCAGAUAGGUUGGUAUCUCCCUUUAUAGUAUUAUUAAAUCAAAGCUUGUUGAUAGUUUGUUGUGUAACUUCAUUUAGAUGAAUUGAAACAAAUUUAAGACAAGUGGAUAUAGGAUAAUCGUCCGUCCUUUACAUUGGUAUAAAAGUGAUCUGAAAAGUAUUCAUAACUUUUUAGUGACGGUCAU